AUGCAAGACUAUCUCGCAGAGAAUCCAACGUAUCGACCGCACCUCUUCCGGAGAAAGUACCGAAUGCGCCGAUCCCUCUUUGUUACAAUUGUUCAACCUUGCGAGGCCAAUUGUCAGUAUUUUACGCAACGAAGAAAUGCUGCCGGCUUGAAGGGAUUUAGUGCAUAUCAAAAAAACUCGGCAGCUAUGAGGGUGAUUGCGUAUAGCUUCCGGCUGAUUAUGCCGAUGAGUAUCUUCGCAUUGGUGAAGAUACAACAAUUGAGUCGGUUUGUAAAUUUGCCAAAGUGA
Molecule: ribosomal RNA, 288 nt
Filed under: Triticum aestivum (bread wheat)
Lineage: Eukaryota; Viridiplantae; Streptophyta; Magnoliopsida; Poales; Poaceae
Description: partial small subunit ribosomal RNA
Source: RNAcentral